This 521-nucleotide ribosomal RNA is filed under the name uncultured Archaeosporaceae. Its description in RNAcentral is "SSU rRNA". It matches the Rfam family "Eukaryotic small subunit ribosomal RNA", at positions 569 to 1093 of the family's 1831-position model. The record is from RNAcentral. Lineage: Eukaryota; Fungi; Glomeromycota; Glomeromycetes; Archaeosporales; Archaeosporaceae.
AGCAGCCGCGGUAAUUCCAGCUCCAAUAGCGUAUAUUAAAGUUGUUGCAGUUAAAAAGCUCGUAGUUGAAUUUUAGGCCUGGCCGGGCGGUCCGUCUUUGGCGAGUACUGUCCUGUGUCGGGUCAUCCUUCUGGUGAACCAGUAUGUCCUUUAUUGGGUGUGCCGGGGAGCCAGGACCAUUACCUUGAAAAAAUUAGAGUGUUUAAAGCGGGCAUUUGCUUGAAUAGAUUAGCAUGGAAUAAUAGAAUAGGACGUUUGUGGUUCUAUUUUGUUGGUUUCUAGGACCACCGUAAUGAUUAAUAGGGAUAGUUGGGGGCAUUAGUAUUCAAUUGUCAGAGGUGAAAUUCUUGGAUUUAUUGAAGACUAACUAUUGCGAAAGCAUUUGCCAAGGAUGUUUUCAUUAAUCAAGAACGAAAGUUAGGGGAUCGAAGACGAUCAGAUACCGUCGUAGUCUUAACCAUAAACUAUGCCGACUAGGAAUCGGGCGACGUUAUUUUCAUGACUCGCUCGGCGCCUUAUGG